This is a long non-coding RNA of Raphanus sativus (radish), 351 nucleotides long. RefSeq lists it as uncharacterized. Lineage: Eukaryota; Viridiplantae; Streptophyta; Magnoliopsida; Brassicales; Brassicaceae. The transcript is spliced from 3 exons. The record is from RefSeq and is a predicted model, not a curated record.
CAUUAUCGUCAGCCUUGGGUUCAUGGUGUCCAGGAGGAGAUCCAGAAGCUGACUAACCGCCUGGAGAAAGCUGAGAAGGUGAUCAAGGAGGUGCCCAUCCUCAAUCAACAGAUUGAGUCACUAGAGGAACAGGUUAAAAGCCUCUCUGGCCAGGUGGAUGCUCUCAGAGUGAAGGUCGCUGACCUGGAGAUGGUCUGCUUCGAUUGAAAAGCAAAGGUCACGGGCUGGAGUGCAACUUGUAUGGCAGGAAGGAAGGAAGGAAGGAAGGAGUUCAACUUGUAGCUUUAUGUUUGUAGUGUAUCACGGGAAGUGUAGUAUUUUGUUUCUUUCUACACUUGUUUUCAAUUCACG